Molecule: ribosomal RNA, 402 nt
Filed under: Gomphonema parvulum
Lineage: Eukaryota; Bacillariophyta; Bacillariophyceae; Cymbellales; Gomphonemataceae
Description: partial large subunit ribosomal RNA
Rfam family: Bacterial large subunit ribosomal RNA
Source: RNAcentral
AAAGACCCUAUGAAGCUUUACUGUAACUUGAAAUUGAAGUUGGACUUUACUUGCGCAGUAUAGGUGGGAGGCUUUGAGAAUAUUCUUGCGGGAAUAUUGGAGCCAUCAGUGAGAUACCACUCUGGUAAUGUUAGAUUUCUAACUUUGAAUCAUUAUCUGGUCAAAGAACAGUUUCAGGCGGGCAGUUUGACUGGGGCGGUCGCCUCCUAAACGGUAACGGAGGCGCACAAAGGUUUCCUCUGAACGGGUAGAAAUCGUAUCUAGAGUGUAAAGGCAUAAGGAAGCUUGACUGUGAGACCUACAAGUCGAGCAGGGACGAAAGUCGGUCUUAGUGAUCUGACGGUGCUGAGUGGAAAGGCCGUCACUCAACGGAUAAAAGUUACUCUAGGGAUAACAGGCUGA